RNAcentral lists this transfer RNA (65 nucleotides) under Bathymodiolus aduloides. RNAcentral's name for it is "tRNA-Trp". Lineage: Eukaryota; Metazoa; Mollusca; Bivalvia; Mytilida; Modiolidae. The record is from RNAcentral.
AGAAAAGUAAUUUAAUUAAAAUAUAAGGUUUCAAACCUUAGUAUGCAGAGCUUGUGCCUUUUCUG